GAAUGAUAACAAGUCUUAAUCAAUUCUUUAGGUGUACACAUUUUGUGUUUUGGGUAGGCAUCAUUUCAUUGUCCAGAGCCAAAGAAUGCAUAGACGACACUUCGCGAAUAAAAUGUUGUUCUGGCUAUAGAAAAAUAAAUGGAACCUGUGCAGAAUGCAUUGGAUUUUACGGAGAAGGCUGUGUCAUUCCUUGCCCAACAGGGUUCUAUGGACCAAGAUGUUUCUCAAAGUGCAACUGUUCUGUACACAAGACUUGUAAUCAGUUUGUUGGCUGCACAUUACUAUCUACGUUCGAGUCAAAGUACAGAAAAUCAGUUCAGAAUGAGAGUUGUUCUUCGUUAUUCCUGUCAGUCAUUGCUCUGACCGCAUCUCAGAUAGUAACGUUGAUUUGCUGUUUGAAAACACUG
This is a long non-coding RNA of Magallana angulata, 407 nucleotides long. RefSeq lists it as uncharacterized. The transcript is spliced from 4 exons. Lineage: Eukaryota; Metazoa; Mollusca; Bivalvia; Ostreida; Ostreidae. The record is from RefSeq and is a predicted model, not a curated record.